Molecule: ribosomal RNA, 473 nt
Filed under: uncultured bacterium
Lineage: Bacteria
Description: bacterial SSU rRNA
Rfam family: Bacterial small subunit ribosomal RNA
Source: RNAcentral
CUCAGGACGAACGCUGGCGGCGUGCCUAACACAUGCAAGUCGAACGAGAUCCAUGGGAGCUUGCUCCCGGAAGAUCUAGUGGCGAACGGGUGAGUAACACGUGAGAAACCUGCCCUGGAGUGGGGAAUAACUCGGGGAAACUCGAGCUAAUACCGCAUACCCUCGGAUGGUCGCAUGGCCGACCGAGGAAAGAUUUAUCGCUCUAGGAGGGUCUCGCGGCCUAUCAGCUAGUUGGUGGGGUAACGGCCUACCAAGGCAACGACGGGUAGCUGGUUUGAGAGAACGAUCAGCCACACUGGGACUGAGACACGGCCCAGACUCCUACGGGAGGCAGCAGUGGGGAAUCUUGCGCAAUGGGCGAAAGCCUGACGCAGCAACGCCGCGUGCGGGAUGACGGCCUUCGUGGUUGUAAACCGCUUUCAGCAGGGACGAAAAUGACGGUACCUGCAGAAGAAGCCCCGGCUAACUACGUG